Solanum stenotomum is the source of this 107-nucleotide small nucleolar RNA. Lineage: Eukaryota; Viridiplantae; Streptophyta; Magnoliopsida; Solanales; Solanaceae. The record is from RefSeq and is a predicted model, not a curated record.
AUGUCAUGAUUUGGGCAGUGAUUGAUCAGUUCAUUAAGCCUUGCCUAUGAUUUGUGGAUCCUCUCACCCUCCUCUUGUUUGAAGAUAAGGAUACGAUCCCGGAACAU